CCUUUUGGGAACUCACUGGCUCUGGAUUCCACAAGAACUCUAAAGUUAAGUGAGUUUGGGUGAGAGCAGUUCUAGGAUGGGUGACCUCUCUGGGAAGUUCUCGUGCUGAAACCCAAAAACAAAAUCGUGAGGGAAUGGUAAGCCUAGAGCGGACAAUAUCGUGCUACGGCGGAGCUGAGCUGGGAUGUGACAAUUUGGUAUCAAAGCCACUCUGCUGUUCGGUGCGGGUGUGCCGAGGAGGACAUCGAGCCUUUAAGGGGGUGGAUUGUGAGAUUCCACAUCACCUAGGGGAUAGGAUCCUAUAUGCCUUAUAUGUACAUGCUCACCUCCCAUUUGCAAGACACGUUUUGGGAACUCACUAGUUCUGGAUCCCAUACUAACUCAGAAGUUAAGUGACUUUGGGCGAGAGCAGUCCUAUGAUGGGUGACCCCCCGGGAAGUUCUCGUGCUGAAACCCAGAAACAAAAUCGGGGGGUCAUCCAUCCUAGGAUUGCUCUCGCCCAAACUCACUUAACUUCGAAGUUCUUAUGGGAUUCGGAGCCAGUGAAUUCCCAAAACGCGUCUUGCAAGAGCCACUCUGUCAUUCGGUGUGGGUGUGCCGAGGAGGACAUCGGGCCCCUAAGGGGGUGGAUUGUGAGAUCCCACAUCGUCUAGGGGAGAGGAUCCUCUAUGCCUUAUAUGUACAUGCUCACCUCCCAUUUGCAAGACGCGUUUUGGGAACUCACUGGCUUCGGAUCCCAUAAGAACUCCGAAGUUAAGUUAGUUUGGGCGAGAGCAAUCCUAGAAUAGGUGACCCUCCUGAGAAGUUCUCGUGCCGAAACCC
Molecule: small RNA, 822 nt
Filed under: Malus domestica (apple)
Lineage: Eukaryota; Viridiplantae; Streptophyta; Magnoliopsida; Rosales; Rosaceae
Source: RNAcentral